AGCAGCCGCGGUAAUUCCAGCUCCAAUAGCGUAUAUUAAAGUUGUUGCAGUUAAAAAGCUCGUAGUUGAAUUUCGGAAUCUGUCCGUUGGUCGGGCUUAAUUGUCCGUACUGAUGUGAUGGGUUCUUACCUUCUGAAUAACCAGCAUGCCAUUAAUUUAGUGUGUUGGGGAAGCAGGACUAUUACCUUGAAAAAAUUAGAGUGCUCAAAGCAGGCUAGUGUCUGAAUACAUUAGCAUGGAAUAAUAAAAUAGGACGGCAUGGUUCUAUUUUGUUGGUUUCUAGGAUCACCGUAAUGAUUAAUAGGGAUAGUUGGGGGCAUUAGUAUUCAAUUGUCAGAGGUGAAAUUCUUGGAUUUAUUGAAGACUAACUUCUGCGAAAGCAUUUGCCAAGGAUGUUUUCAUUAAUCAAGAACGAAAGUUAGGGGAUCGAAGACGAUCAGAUACCGUCGUAGUCUUAACCAUAAACUAUGACCGACUAGGGAUCGGACGAUGUUAAUUUAUAAUGACUCGUUCGGCGUCC
RNAcentral lists this ribosomal RNA (520 nucleotides) under uncultured Glomeromycotina. RNAcentral's name for it is "SSU rRNA". It matches the Rfam family "Eukaryotic small subunit ribosomal RNA", at positions 569 to 1088 of the family's 1831-position model. The record is from RNAcentral. Lineage: Eukaryota; Fungi; Glomeromycota.